This 1204-nucleotide unclassified non-coding RNA is filed under the name Hevea brasiliensis (rubber tree). The record is from RNAcentral. Lineage: Eukaryota; Viridiplantae; Streptophyta; Magnoliopsida; Malpighiales; Euphorbiaceae.
UCUAAACCAAGCCAUUUCCUCAACCUCCCCAAGCCGAACGUCACUUUCGAAACCCAUGGCAAGCACCGUUCUAAUCUUGGAUUUGGCUUCGACCCCGAACAAAUGAUUACAAAGUGUUGAGAAUGGUGAAACUCUCCAGUAAUGAUGAGACCGUGGUUGAGAUUUACUCUCUGAAUUCAAAUUCUUGGUAAAUUCUUAGCAAAGCUGUGUUAAAAUAUGGCAUUGUUGCUGCUUACCCACAGGCAUUUGGUUUUGGGUUUUGAUUUAGGGGAAGAGGUAUUUCGACAUGAUUUUGCGGCAAAAUUUUGCAGAGGUAAGGUCUUUGUUUGUGUUUCAGGAGUCAACUAUUGCUAUACAAUAACGUGUUAUGAUUCUAUUCAGUGCCAUCUGUGGUUGAUGAAGAAGUAUGGUGUUGUAGGGCCAUGGACUAAGCUGCUAAGUUAUGACAAUGGAAUCAUCAAAAUUACUAAUGGCAAUUGGAAUUAGGAAAACUGGAGCAUUACUUUCAGGAUUCCAGGGAGGACAGCUUGCUUCAUAUGAUGAAGAGAGCCAGAAGAUCAAGCAUUGGAUUCAUCAGAAACCAGGCACUUAUUUUCUGCAGACUUGUGAGCAAAGCCUAGUGUUACUUGACAAAGAAAAUCGUUAGUAAUGCAACUUGUGAUUAGGGAGGAAGCAAAGAGGGUCAAAAACGGUUUCUGCUAAUAAGAAAUAUUUUCUUUCCAAAUGUUUCUGAUUAACAACUAUUUCAAUGUUUGCUACCUUGUCUGUGUUUAUAGUCUGUGUUGAUCUGUGAGUUGUUUUGACGUGGGUGACGAGGUUUUUCCACGCCAAUCUGCUACCAUAAAGUUAACACGAGAAGAUUGGAUCAGUGAUUUUGUUUAAGGAGUCGACCAUUGCUAUUUUCAUAUAGAUUACCAUUGUCAUCGGUGGCUGAUGAAGAGGUAUGGUGACUUUGGGUCAUGGACUAAGCUGUUCAUUGAUGAGACUCAAGAGGGAUCACUACCAAGGACGUUAAGAUUUAGAAGAAGUGGAGAACUACUGUUGAGCUUCAGUUAAGUGGAGAUUGUUUUAUAUAAUUUAGAGAACCAGCAGACCAAGAGCCUUGGGAUUGAUAAGAAUCUACAUGAGUUUAUAUUCAAUGUUACUUAAUAAAGCUCACCGCUAGGCAUGCAGGCAAAAUGCAAGACAGGUCAAGAGUAUACUA